Molecule: non-coding RNA, 551 nt
Filed under: Pan troglodytes (chimpanzee)
Lineage: Eukaryota; Metazoa; Chordata; Mammalia; Primates; Hominidae
Source: RNAcentral
CAGCAUUCUGAGUAGCUGGGAUCACAGGUGCUCCCCAUCACACCCUGCUAAUUUAAUUUUCUUUGUAGAGACAGGGUCUUGCUAUGUUGCCUAGGCUGGUCUUGAACUCCUGGGCUCAAGUGAUCCUCCCGCCUCAGCCUCCCAGUGUUAGGAUUACAGGAGUGAGCCACUGCCUCUGCCUUCAGGUAGCAAUUUUAUUAGCAAACUAUAAGCCUAAAGUAAUAGUUAAAAUUCUCACUGUGAUAUUCAUUACUAACCCCUGAACCUGUACCCUUCAGCUUACCACUACAGUACUUCUGUAGUAGAGCGAGUAUGGGUUUUGGUAUCAGACAGGUCCAAAUUUGAAUUCUGAUUCUACCUUUCAUUUAUCAAAUGACUUUGGGCAAAGUACUUAACCUCUCUGAGCUUUAGUUCCCUUCUCUGUAAAAGAAUAAAAUAUUUCAGUCUUAUCGUGUAGAUGAUAUACAGAGGGCACAUAACAAAUGUUAGAUCUCUCAAAUGUUUUUCUGUAACCCAAAUAUGCUUACAACUGAUUAAAGAAUGUUCUCACU